CCGGGUUCCAAGACCCCUGCGUAGACUCUGUCUAUAGGUGGAAGAAGGCCUUUGCCCCGAGGCAUCCAGAGGUAACGGCAACUCCAGUGGCAUCUUCUGCGGGGAGACCAGAAGCAGCAUCUGACGAGGAGACAGCACUGGCGGUCCCGACACAACUGAAUCGGCAGGAUGAGGGCCCUUAGUGUUAGGCACCGGCGGAGCUGCAUCCCACCCCGUCUCGUCCCCUGAGAACAGCUGUGAGAAGCCGCCUAUUUUUCAUCGUUCUGCAACACACCUUUCCCUUCCUUGGGAUAUUUCUCCUCUUUCAGCAUUGCCGCAUCAGGGUUCCAAAGCCCCGUUUCUCUCCUAGUUCUUUCUUUGCUCAAGAAAAGCAGCUUGUCUGAUAAACUAAGCUAUGUAUGAUUCGCUGCCAGUACAGACUGAAAAACAAAAUAAACUCCCAAUUCACAGUCCUCCGUUGCGUAACAGUGAGCAGACGUUCUGAGAAAUGCAUCGUCAGGCAAUUGCAUCAUUGUGCAAACAAUAUAGAGUGUACUUACCCAAACCUAAACAGCACAGCCUACUACACACCCAGGCUGUAGGCUGUGCUUCUAGACUACAAACCUGUACAGUGUGGUACUGAACACUGUAGGCAACUGUAACACAAUGGUGUACCUAAUUCCUCUGCCUAGAAAGUGUGCUGGAAUUACUGCCUGGCUUCUGAUGAAUAGGGCGUAUUGAGAGUGAUGCUUUGUGAGUUCUGAGGCUAGGUCAUAGAAAGGAUUGAACUUAUUCCUGAAUGUUGCUCUUGGAUCACUUGCUUUUUUGGGAACCACCAGCCAUGUCAUGAGGACACUCAAGCAACCCUGCAGAGAAGCACAUGUGUGGAGAGGCACUUCUUGGAAAGGAGGCCAACUUGCCAGAACCAACUAAUUUGUCAUGUGAGUGAGUCAUUUUGGAAGCAGAUCCUCUACCCUCAGUCAGGCCUUCCGAUGAUUUCAGCCCCCAGCCUUUGAGUCUGCCCCAAACACCAUGAGUAGAGACAAGCCCUUCCCACUGUGUCCACCCUGGCUGAAUUCCAGACCGUUAAAAAAACAAGAGAAAAUAAAUUAUUAUUAGUGUUUUGAGUCACUAA
This is a long non-coding RNA of Homo sapiens (human), 1114 nucleotides long. RefSeq lists it as uncharacterized. NCBI's taxonomy places the organism in Eukaryota, Metazoa, Chordata, Mammalia, Primates, Hominidae. The transcript is spliced from 3 exons. The record is from RefSeq and is a predicted model, not a curated record.